Small nucleolar RNA from Hemiscyllium ocellatum (epaulette shark), 69 nucleotides. RefSeq annotates it as small nucleolar RNA SNORD123. Lineage: Eukaryota; Metazoa; Chordata; Chondrichthyes; Orectolobiformes; Hemiscylliidae. The transcript has a single exon. The record is from RefSeq and is a predicted model, not a curated record.
UGUGAAAAUGAUGAAAUUGGGGAUCUGAAAUCAUCUGAAGUUAAGAUGCCAUCCAUUUCCUGAUUCACA